GUUAAGAUAGCCUGAACAUGUGAAAGUUGGUUUGGUGUCUCUAUCUUGAACGGUUCAAGAAUGACUGUUGAAUCAAGUGCUGGCGAGAAGAAUGCAAGG
Molecule: long non-coding RNA, 99 nt
Filed under: Salmo trutta (river trout)
Lineage: Eukaryota; Metazoa; Chordata; Actinopteri; Salmoniformes; Salmonidae
Description: lncRNA (ENSSTUG00000044300.1)
Source: RNAcentral